This is a non-coding RNA of Melospiza melodia melodia, 1058 nucleotides long. Lineage: Eukaryota; Metazoa; Chordata; Aves; Passeriformes; Passerellidae. The record is from the annotation of a RefSeq genome assembly.
CAGCGCUGUCACAGGCAGAGGGAGGGACCAGCAGGGCCUGGGCCUGAGAGCAGUGCCAGAGGCCCAGGCAGGGCAGGUGUGGGCAGAGCUGUUGUGCAGGCGCAGAGAAGCUGCAGAGAGGCCACGGAGAGCGGGCCUGGCCAUGUGGAGUGCCCUGUGCGUGGGCUUCUUGCCCAUUGUAGCAGUCACUAGCCAGGUGGCCUUGGAGCAGCAGCCCAGGGAAGUGACCGUGCGAGAGGGAGAUGAAGUCACCUUCCACUGCAGCAUGAAGGAAGGUGAUUGGAACAGUAACUACAUGAACUGGUACCGUCAGAGCCCACGGGGCUCUCUGGAAUGGAUUUACGAGGAAAAGGAUGAUUAUGGAGCAGGUUUCAAAAAGCGCUUUAAGGGAAGAGUGCAGAAUCCCUGGACCACACUGCAGCUCCUGGCAACAGAACAAGGCGAUGCAGCAAUAUAUUACUGUGGAGCAAGAACCACCCUGGAGCAGCUCUGCAGCAGAGUGAACCAAAAAACAGCAGAUGGGGAUGACAGAUCUUUCUGGCAGCUGCUCCCCAGGGCUCUUGUCAGGCAAUGGCAGGUGCAGGAAACCUCCCUCUGGUUUGGUGGCACUAAAAGGCACUGGAGGGAGGGCCGCUGGAAGGGCUGGUGCCAUUGAUGGUGCAGGAUGAUCUGUGCUGGAAGGUGCAGAGGCUGCAGUUUGGGGAAGUGCAUGGUUAGUGCACCUUGCCAGGGCUCCUGUCCAGCACAGUCUCAUUUCUCCUCUGUGCCUUGCCUUGGUUUCCAGCCCUUUUUCCUCAGGGACAGUCAGCAUGGGUUUGGGAAGUGGGAAUAGGGCUUAGCCACAUUGACAGCAUUCUACAAUGAGACAAAGGGUCUUGCUGGGGGAGGAAACACUGGAUGUUGUGCAUUCUUCAUUCAGUUGAGCUCCCAGCACUGACUUCCCUGGAAACCUUCUGCACAAAUCCUUUCAUUAUGGUCAUGGUUCAGUGAUAUGGAUUAUGCAAGGGUACACAUUCCUCCUCCUGGCCUCUCCUCCUGGUCUCUGGGAAAUUGAAUUC